Molecule: ribosomal RNA, 468 nt
Filed under: uncultured bacterium
Lineage: Bacteria
Description: partial 16S ribosomal RNA
Rfam family: Bacterial small subunit ribosomal RNA
Source: RNAcentral
GACGAACGCUGGCGGCGUGCUUAACACAUGCAAGUCGAACGGAAAGGCACUGCUUUUGUGGGGUGCUCGAGUGGCGAACGGGUGAGUAACACGUGAGUAACCUGCCCUUGACUUUGGGAUAACUUCAGGAAACUGGGGCUAAUACCGGAUCGGAGCUCCUGCUGCAUGGUGGGGGUUGGAAAGUUUCGGCGGUUGGGGAUGGACUCGCGGCUUAUCAGCUUGUUGGUGGGGUAGUGGCUUACCAAGGCUUUGGCGGGUAGCCGGCCUGUGAGGGUGACCGGCGACAUUGGGACUGAGAUACGGCCCAGACUCCUACGGUAGGCAGCAGUGGGGAAUAUUGCACAAUGGGCGGAAGCCUGAUGCAGCAACGCCGCGUGCGGGAUGACGGCCUUCGGGUUGUAAACCGCUUUCGCCUGUGACGAAGCGUGAGUGACGGUAAUGGGUAAAGAAGCACCGGCUAACUACGUG